UACGGAGGGUGCGAGCGUUGUCCGGAUUUAUUGGGUUUAAAGGGUGCGUAGGCGGCCCGUUAAGUCAGCGGUGAAACCCCCGGGCUCAACCCGGGGAGUGCCGUUGAUACUGUCGGGCUUGGGUCGUCUCUGGGCGGGCGGAAUGGAAGGUGUAGCGGUGAAAUGCAUAGAUAUCUACCAGAACGCCGAAAGCGAAGGCAGCUCGCUGGGGACGUACCGACGCUGAGGCACGAUAGCGUGGGGAUCAAACAGG
RNAcentral lists this ribosomal RNA (253 nucleotides) under uncultured bacterium. RNAcentral describes it as "partial 16S ribosomal RNA". It matches the Rfam family "Bacterial small subunit ribosomal RNA", at positions 524 to 776 of the family's 1533-position model. The record is from RNAcentral.